RNAcentral lists this ribosomal RNA (253 nucleotides) under uncultured bacterium. RNAcentral describes it as "partial 16S ribosomal RNA". It matches the Rfam family "Bacterial small subunit ribosomal RNA", at positions 524 to 776 of the family's 1533-position model. The record is from RNAcentral.
UACAGAGGGGGCAAGCGUUGUUCGGAAUUACUGGGCGUAAAGGGCGCGUAGGCGGCCUGCUAAGUCGAACGUGAAAUCCCCGGGCUCAACCCGGGAACUGCGUCCGAUACUGGCAGGCUUGAAUCCGGGAGAGGGAUGCGGAAUCCCAGGUGUAGCGGUGAAAUGCGUAGAUAUCUGGAGGAACACCGGUGGCGAAGGCGGCAUCCUGGACCGGCAUUGACGCUGAGGCGCGAAAGCCAGGGGAGCAAGCGGG